AAUAUUUGACAUUGGGGGCAACCCUGAUCCAGCUAUGCCGCGUGUGUGAAGAAGGUCUCCGCACUGUAAAGCACUUUAAGUUUGGAGGAAGUGCUUCAGGUUACUACCCCGAAGUUCUGCCGAUACCAACUGAACAACCACCGGCUAACUGUGUGCCAGCAGCCGCGGUAAUACAGAGGGUGCAAGCGUUAAUCGGAAUUACUGGGCGUAAAGCGCGCGUAGGUGGUUCAGUAAGAUGGGUGUGAAAUCCCCGGGCUUAAGCUGGGAACUGCUUUCAUAACUGCUGAACUAGAGUACGGUAGAGGGUAGUGGAAUUUCCUGUGUAGCGGUGAAAUGCGUAGAUAUAGGAAGGAACACCAGUGGCGAAGGCGACUACCUGGACUGAUACUGACACUGAGGUGCGAAAGCGUGGGGAGCAAAC
Molecule: ribosomal RNA, 421 nt
Filed under: uncultured bacterium
Lineage: Bacteria
Description: partial 16S ribosomal RNA
Rfam family: Bacterial small subunit ribosomal RNA
Source: RNAcentral